CAAAAAGUAGUUUAGUUGAGAAUUCUAGCUUUGGGAGUUAGCGGUAGGGGUUAAAAUCCCUUCUUUUUGA
This 70-nucleotide transfer RNA is filed under the name Prionurus laticlavius (razor surgeonfish). RNAcentral describes it as "tRNA-Pro". It matches the Rfam family "tRNA". Rfam says of the family: Transfer RNA (tRNA) molecules are approximately 80 nucleotides in length. The record is from RNAcentral. Lineage: Eukaryota; Metazoa; Chordata; Actinopteri; Acanthuriformes; Acanthuridae.